CCUACGGGGGGCUGCAGUGGGGAAUAUUGGACAAUGGGGGCAACCCUGAUCCAGCCAUGCCGCGUGUGUGAAGAAGGCCCUCGGGUUGUAAAGCACUUUCAGUGAGGAAGAACGCCUGGUGGUUAAUACCCAUCAGGAAAGACAUCACUCACAGAAGAAGCACCGGCUAACUCCGUGCCAGCAGCCGCGGUAAUACGGAGGGUGCGAGCGUUAAUCGGAAUUACUGGGCGUAAAGCGCGCGUAGGUGGCUUGAUAAGCCGGUUGUGAAAGCCCCGGGCUCAACCUGGGAACGGCAUCCGGAACUGUCAAGCUAGAGUGCAGGAGAGGAAGGUAGAAUUCCCGGUGUAGCGGUGAAAUGCGUAGAGAUCGGGAGGAAUACCAGUGGCGAAGGUGGCCUUCUGGACUGACACUGACACUGAGGUGCGAAAGCGUGGGUAGCAAACAGGAUUAGAUACCCGUGUAGUC
This 465-nucleotide ribosomal RNA is filed under the name Vreelandella stevensii. RNAcentral's name for it is "partial 16S ribosomal RNA". It matches the Rfam family "Bacterial small subunit ribosomal RNA", at positions 338 to 795 of the family's 1533-position model. The record is from RNAcentral. Lineage: Bacteria; Pseudomonadati; Pseudomonadota; Gammaproteobacteria; Oceanospirillales; Halomonadaceae.